UCACUGUCGUACGGGUGCGUAACGCGUAUGCAACCUACCUAUCACUGGGGGAUAGCCCGGGGAAACCCGGAUUAAUACCGCAUAAAACAGGGGCACCGCAUGGUGAUAUUUGUUAAAGAUUUAUUGGUGAUAGAUGGGCAUGCGUUCGAUUAGCUAGUUGGCGGGGUAACGGCCCACCAAGGCGACGAUCGAUAGGGGAGCUGAGAGGUUGAUCCCCCACACGGGCACUGAGAUACGGGCCCGACUCCUACGGGAGGCAGCAGUAGGGAAUAUUGGGCAAUGGAUGCAAGUCUGACCCAGCCAUGCCGCGUGCCGGAUGAAGGCCCUCAGGGUUGUAAACGGCUUUUAUUCGGGAAGAAGAGCAGGGAUGCGUCCUUGUGUGACGGUACCGAAUGAAUAAGCACCGGCUAACUCCGUGCCAGCAGCCGCGGUAAUACGGAGGGUGCGAGCGUUGUCCGGAUUUAUUGGGUUUAAAGGGUGCGUAGGUGGCCUAAUAAGUCAGUGGUGAAAUACGGUUGCUCAACAAUCGAGGUGCCAUUGAUACUGUGAGGCUUGAAAUAAUUGGAGGCUGCCGGAAUGGAUGGUGUAGCGGUGAAAUGCAUAGAUAUCAUCCAGAACACCGAUUGCGAAGGCAGGUGGCUACGAUUGGUUUGACACUGAGGCACGAAAGCAUGGGGAGCAAACAGGAUUAGAUACCCUGGUAGUCCAUGCUGUAAACGAUGAGGACUCGUUGUUUGGCUGUAAAGCUGAGCGACUUAGGGAAACCGUUAAGUCCUCCACCUGGGGAGUACGCCGGCAAC
RNAcentral lists this ribosomal RNA (800 nucleotides) under uncultured bacterium. RNAcentral's name for it is "bacterial SSU rRNA". It matches the Rfam family "Bacterial small subunit ribosomal RNA", at positions 92 to 892 of the family's 1533-position model. The record is from RNAcentral.